Xyrichtys novacula (pearly razorfish) is the source of this 1003-nucleotide non-coding RNA. NCBI's taxonomy places the organism in Eukaryota, Metazoa, Chordata, Actinopteri, Labriformes, Labridae. The record is from the annotation of a GenBank genome assembly.
CGGACUCUGACCGUGUGACGCCCUCCGUUACCUCGCGGAACUAUCAAACAGGUACGAACGUGUCUUUACGGACUAAAUGUUUUGUAGGUAUGUAAAAUGUUUUCAAGGACUAAAUGUUUAGUAGAUAAGCCAAAAUAACGUGUUUUUCUGGUCUCUUUAAAUGUCUGAAAAUCUUAAUUUUGUGUCUAGAGAGAAAAGCUGAGCGCCGUCUGCCUCCUCUGUCUGUCAUAGACUUUCUUCACAGCAGGUAAGAAAGUCUGGGUAAUAGUCCUCUACUCUCAUGUGUGUUAUAUCACAGUUUACAGUUUUAAAGUAACAAUUUUUAUCAGUGUAGCUCGAUGUUUUAUUGAAACUAUCGACUCUUUUGUUGUAAGUGAAACUGAAACUGUUGAGCUGGUUCACAAAGCAAUGAAGGACACAGGAGGGUUUGUUACUAUUUAAACCACAAAUGUCAUAAGAUCAGGUUCAAAUAUUAUGUUUGUGAUUAAACCAAACCUGGUUAAAGCUUGCUGAAGUUUAUAAAGAUGUAACGUAGUUGACCCAGCAGCAGAGAGAGCAGUAGAUCUAGUGUUUGUUCAGGAUUAGAAAAAUUAUGUUUUAAAAGAUUAAUCUUUCUCUCUCUGCAGCUAAACUGUUUAACGUAGAAAAGUCUGUAUUCAUUACAAGUUAGUUAAAGCCGUCAGUUAAUUUCUUUAAUUACAUUUUCAUUGUUUUCGGAAUGGGAUUAUUUUGCAUGUCAAACAAUUUCUCAUAUCCAUAUUAACAAAAUAAUUAAAGAGGACCCUGAGGUCUCCAUUACCACAGAUUAAAUGUUUUAUUUUUUUUAAGUUAUUUUGAGUGACAUAGUCUCUCUUUAUGUUUCAUCUGACUUUGUUUUUUGUUUAUAAGCUUCAGGAUGUUUCCUCUGAUGGACAGAAGGUCCCUCAGCCUUCCCUUUGGUGCCUUCACUGACCUGCUUUUCCUCACUGUUGUCUUUCUCACCCUGAUACAUUCCUGCGCAGGU